AACACAGAUUGCUUCUCACAUUCAUUUAUCAUCAUUCCAGGAAAUUCAUCAUGACAUAGAUUUUGUCACAACUAAUCCUUCCAAAAGCAGAAGUGUGCAUGAUAUGAUCCAGCUUAAGAGAUAAUCAGAAACAAGAGAGGAAACAAACACUUCUGUUUUUAUUUGAUGAGACCACUACAAAAACAGAGAGAACUUUUUCAGAAGACUGAGGGAGAAGACAGUUUUAUAACCUUGUUCACUGUUUUGUUUUCUCUGUGGCAGUUAAUAGAGAGAGGAACAUUUUCAGAUGAAUCAACAAAGUUAGAACCACUUUCAUCCUUUCUACACAAACGAUAUGUUGUAUUCCCGUCUGAUAGACCUAUGAAGGGAAAGCAGCUCAGGAUGGCCAAUGGUUUCCCUCACCAGUGCAGUCACUAAAGAGAAUCAAGAAUCAGGAAGUCAGACUACACUCUGCAAUUGCUUCUUCAAACCUUAAAAAUCAAGGAGACAUGGAGCGAAUGACUGUAUUGGGUUUGAGUCAAUGGAGAAUUACGUUCUGCUGCAUCUGGAGAGGAUAAGAAUUUGCAGGAAUCGUGGUAAAAUAUCUGUACUAAAAAAGGAAUGAGUUGUUUCAAAUAAAAAAUUUGUGUGACUUGUUGCUAAUUCCAAAGAAAGAGGAUAGAGAUUAAAUAUGAGGCACAGGCUGUAAACUAUUCAGGAUGGCUUUCAUAGCUCAAAGGGUAUAAUUAAAAGUAUGGAACAAACUGCCAAAGUCUACGAUGGAAAUGAAUAGUGUAACACCAGGUCAAAAGGGAUCUGGACUCAUUUCUGGAAGAAGAGACAAUGCACAGCUGUUAGAGUGUAUUUUAAAGGAUGAAGAUGAUCAGUUACUGCAUGAAUUGAUUGGUAUUUCCUGGGCAUGUUCUGUUAGAAUUUUAGUAUCUCCUGGACCUUCGGUCGUUGUUUGUUUCUGGCAACUGCAUCCAUACAGGAGCAAAUGUCUUCCAUUGACUUGAAAUUUAUAUUGUAGAAUAAAAUUACUGUUUUCUCCAGCAAAAAUUCCUCGGUGGAAAGGAAUUUUCAUAUUAUUGCCAUGACAUCAGUUCAUUCAGAAAAGAUAAGCAGCUAACUACAUACCCUGGAGUCUUGUAUUCUCUUAAAUCAUCAGAAUCUGGGAG
RNAcentral lists this long non-coding RNA (1157 nucleotides) under Gallus gallus (chicken). Lineage: Eukaryota; Metazoa; Chordata; Aves; Galliformes; Phasianidae. The record is from RNAcentral.